RNAcentral lists this ribosomal RNA (570 nucleotides) under uncultured bacterium. RNAcentral describes it as "bacterial SSU rRNA". It matches the Rfam family "Bacterial small subunit ribosomal RNA", at positions 102 to 657 of the family's 1533-position model. The record is from RNAcentral.
ACGGGUGAGUAACACGUGGGUAACCUGCCCAUAAGUGGGGGACAACAGUCGGAAACGAUUGCUAAUACCGCAUAUACGAGAAACCACAUGGUUUCUUUGUAAAAGGUGGCUUUUAUGCUACCGCUUAUGGAUGGACCCGCGGCGUAUUAGCUAGUUGGUGAGGUAACGGCUCACCAAGGCGAUGAUACGUAGCCGACCUGAGAGGGUGAUCGGCCACACUGGGACUGAGACACGGCCCAGACUCCUACGGGAGGCAGCAGUAGGGAAUCUUCCGCAAUGGACGAAAGUCUGACGGAGCAACGCCGCGUGAGUGAAGAAGGUUUUCGGAUCGUAAAACUCUGUUGUUAGAGAAGAACAAGUAGGAGAGUAACUGCUCCUGCCUUGACGGUAUCUAACCAGAAAGCCACGGCUAACUACGUGCCAGCAGCCGCGGUAAUACGUAGGUGGCAAGCGUUGUCCGGAUUUAUUGGGCGUAAAGCGAGCGCAGGCGGUUUCUUAAGUCUGAUGUGAAAGCCCCCGGCUUAACCGGGGAGGGUCAUUGGAAACUGGGAGACUUGAGUGCAGAAGAGG